RNAcentral lists this ribosomal RNA (243 nucleotides) under uncultured bacterium. RNAcentral describes it as "partial 16S ribosomal RNA". It matches the Rfam family "Bacterial small subunit ribosomal RNA", at positions 529 to 771 of the family's 1533-position model. The record is from RNAcentral.
AGGGGGCAAGCGUUAUCCGGAUUUACUGGGUGUAAAGGGAGCGUAGGCGGCAGGCCAAGUCAGGCGUGAAAGCCCGGGGCCCAACCCCGGGACUGCGCUUGAGACUGGCCGGCUAGAGUACCGGAGAGGCAGGCGGAAUUCCUAGUGUAGCGGUGAAAUGCGUAGAUAUUAGGAGGAACACCAGUGGCGAAGGCGGCCUGCUGGACGGUGACUGACGCUGAGGCUCGAAAGCGUGGGGAGCAA